This 435-nucleotide ribosomal RNA is filed under the name uncultured bacterium. Its description in RNAcentral is "bacterial SSU rRNA". It matches the Rfam family "Bacterial small subunit ribosomal RNA", at positions 30 to 464 of the family's 1533-position model. The record is from RNAcentral.
AUUGAACGCUGGCGGCAUGCCUUACACAUGCAAGUCGAACGGCAGCACGGGAGCUUGCUCCUGGUGGCGAGUGGCGAACGGGUGAGUAAUACAUCGGAACGUACCCUGAAGUGGGGGAUAACGUAGCGAAAGUUACGCUAAUACCGCAUAUUCUGUGAGCAGGAAAGAGGGGGAUCGCAAGACCUCUUGCUUUAGGAGCGGCCGAUGUCGGAUUAGCUAGUUGGUGAGGUAAAGGCUCACCAAGGCGACGAUCCGUAGCGGGUCUGAGAGGAUGAUCCGCCACACUGGGACUGAGACACGGCCCAGACUCCUACGGGAGGCAGCAGUGGGGAAUUUUGGACAAUGGGCGCAAGCCUGAUCCAGCCAUGCCGCGUGAGUGAAGAAGGCCUUCGGUUGUAAGACUCUUCGUGGGAGAAUGUCACAGGAUAAUACCUU